AAAAAGAAAAAAAAGCUGUAGGAGAUAACCGUGUAUAUGCUCACAGAGUUGUGCAAGGAUUUUAUGUAGAAAUUGCUUAGGAAAAGUGUAUGAACAGUCUUUUUAAACGUGACGGGGAAAGCCACAUUUCCAACCCCAAACUGUACCGGUUUGCACACCCAGAGAGGGAGUGCCUUCCCCCGCCCCGCCCCACGGAGACUCCAGCCUUUUCAUCUCCGCCCGCCUGAACGGGAUGAACCUCCAUCCUCCAGCUACCCCCCAGCCCAGCCUGCUGGAGGAACAGGCCCCGUCAGCCUCUCCGGGCAGGCACCUCCACCGGGCGGCCUCCGGGACUUCUUGAUCACUGCCUGCGUGCCCUCCCUGCCACGCUCUUCCCUGUCCCUCCCAGCUUGAAAUCCUCAGUGGCCGCAUGUGUCACCUAUGAAAGCGCAGAGCUCUGGCUGGGGUGCAGAGCCCGUCCGCUCGGCCCUCGGCUGCGAGUGGCAGGACAGGUGUGCUGAGGUCUCUCCUCUCCGUGCCCUCUGGACGCCUCCCCCUUCGCAGUAGUGCAGUGCCGUCUGGCGUCCCUGGGCAGUGGGGCCUCCCACUGGGCGCCCACUUGAGGCACAACUGGGGUCUCCAUUCCUCUCUCCACUCUGGCCCAGCUGGGGUCUCCACUCCUCUCUCUUGUCCACGCUGGACUUGGAGGAGAGCACACACUCAACUUCCCACAGCCUGGGACAUUUCUACCCCAGGCUCCUUCUCUCCUGGCAAGCAGCAGGCACUCAGGCCUUUGCUGGGGCGGGGAGGAAGGAAGGACGGAAGGGAGGAAAUAAAGAAGAAAAGAAGGAAGGAAAAGGAAAGACCAACCUCCCCAGAAGACCAGGCAGCUCCUCCUCAGUGGAGAGGAUGCUGAGGCACUUCUCUACCUUUUCUUAGGAUAUUAACCACACCAGGAAUGGCUCAGCCAGGAGCUGGGGUUCGGAUUUUCCCUCCAUGGAGCCCAGAUAGCAGCAGCCUGCAGCAAAGUCAGAGGUGCUGUUCCCAUUUGCUGCAAAGAUUACCUAGAUGCCCUUGAAUUAUGGGGAACAAGAGCUUGGACACGUGCACACUGUACCUUCUUGGUCCCUUUGCGGUGGGCCGAUUCCAGCCCUGGAGCCUGGCACCACCUGGCGCUGCUGUCCCUCUGCCCACGCUGGGAAAACACCGUUGUAAAUGCUCCUGAACGCAUGCACCCUGUUCUGGUUCCCCUCGGCCCCUGCUCAGGCUUGACCACACCUCUGUCCUGGCCGCUGGGGCUGGCAGCGGAGCUCGGUGGUUUUGAUGGGGGUGACCGGGCCAGGUGUUGUUGGCCUGAGGACCCAGAGGCCUGAAUGGUGAGCAAGAGCCGAUUCCUUGCACUCUCCUUGUUUUACAUCAACGCGUCUAUGAGCGCUAGUUCUGUUCUGCAACAUACGGAUCUACUCUAUUUGAAGCCUUGAAUUCUUCACUAGAGGGUCUUGUUUUCAUGCUUUGGGACGGGGACUCAUCCAAUUUUCCAGGCAGCCUUUGAACUCUCAGUCCUCCUGCAUUAGCAUCCCACAUAACUGGCCACGACACACAGCUGAGACCACACGCAUUCUAACCAGCCACUGGGCACAGCACUGAAGCUGUUUCUGUAAGCCAGGGUGCUGGCCAAGCCUCUCCACUCGUCCCCGCGAGCUGCGGUGCUGGGUGCCCCGCUCUGGUCAUCCCCGCGAGCUGCGGUGCUGGCUGGCCCUCUUUGGCUGGGUAUCAAAGUCGGCUUCUUCCAGGGGCUGGCACACCGGAUGGCUCACAUCCCCAGGCCCUAUGGCAUAAACCCGUCACGAGGAGCUGUCUGUUGGUUUACUGCAAGGCCUUUCUGAGCCAUAGGUUAAUAUAUUAAUGAAGACAGUGGCUGCUCCCCUACAUUAAAUAAUGACUGUGAAUGAUUGGAAGAAAAACAUCUUCAUGUCCCCCUGCAGGGUGUGAGAUUGAUGAGAAUGGAUUGCCCUGCCAAGAGACUCAAAAAUAUUACAACCUUUUAUUCCUCUGCAGCGUGGACAAGUGUGUAUUCAUUUCUAUGUUAUUACAAAAAACCCUCUUCCAAUGAUUCUGAGCUAAAAAC
Long non-coding RNA from Chinchilla lanigera (long-tailed chinchilla), 2107 nucleotides. RefSeq lists it as uncharacterized. The record is from RefSeq and is a predicted model, not a curated record. The transcript has 4 exons. Lineage: Eukaryota; Metazoa; Chordata; Mammalia; Rodentia; Chinchillidae.